RNAcentral lists this ribosomal RNA (484 nucleotides) under uncultured bacterium. RNAcentral describes it as "partial 16S ribosomal RNA". It matches the Rfam family "Bacterial small subunit ribosomal RNA", at positions 30 to 507 of the family's 1533-position model. The record is from RNAcentral.
AUUGAACGCUGGCGGCAGGCCUAACACAUGCAAGUCGAGCGGAGGAAGGGUGCUUGCCCCUGGAUGCAGCGGCGGACGGGUGAGUGAUGCCUAUGAAUCUGCCUGGUAGUGGGGGAUAACGUCCGGAAAAGGGCGCUAAUAUCGCAUACGUCAUGAGGGGGAAAGAGGGGGCGCUUCGGACCUCAAGCUAUCAGAUGAGACUAGGUCGGAUUAGCUAGUUGGUGGGGUAAAGGCCUACCAAGGCGACGAUCCGUAACUGGUCUGAGAGGAUGAUCAGUCACACCGGAACUGAGACACGGUCCAGACUCCUACGGGAGGCAGCAGUGGGGAAUAUUGGACAAUGGGCGAAAGCCUGAUCCAGCCAUGCCGCGUGUGUGAAGAAGGUCUUCUGAUUGUAAAGCACUUUAAGUUGGGAGGAAGGGCAGUAAGUUAAUACCUAGCUGUUUUGACGUUACCAACAGAAUAAGCACCGGCUAACUUCGUG